Molecule: non-coding RNA, 171 nt
Filed under: Pongo abelii (Sumatran orangutan)
Lineage: Eukaryota; Metazoa; Chordata; Mammalia; Primates; Hominidae
Source: RNAcentral
CAAGAAUCUGCCUUGCUACAACUCCCUGGGAGCUAAGUGCUUGAGGGCCACUCUGAGACACAGUGAUGUGGCUGUGGAAGGAAUUUAAAGAAACCUUCUGGCAGGCGCCGCUCGGACACCGCUGACACCACUGUCUGGAUCGGCGAACCCCAAAGGCGAGGAACCGCUGGU